GACGAACGCUGGCGGCGUGCUUAACACAUGCAAGUCGAACGGAAAGGCCCUGCUUUUGUGGGGUGCUCGAGUGGCGAACGGGUGAGUAACACGUGAGUAACCUGCCCUUGACUUUGGGAUAACUUCAGGAAACUGGGGCUAAUACCGGAUAGGAGCUCCUGCUGCAUGGUGGGGGUUGGAAAGUUUCGGCGGUUGGGGAUGGACUCGCGGCUUAUUAGCUUGUUGGUGGGGUAGUGGCUUACCAAGGCUUUGACGGGUAGCCGGCCUGAGAGGGUGACCGGCCACAUUGGGACUGAGAUACGGCCCAGACUCCUACGGGAGGCAGCAGUGGGGAAUAUUGCACAAUGGGCGGAAGCCUGAUGCAGCAACGCCGCGUGCGGGAUGACGGCCUUCGGGUUGUAAACCUCUUUCGCCUGUGACGAAGCGUGAGUGACGGUAAUGGGUAAAGAAGCACCGGCUAACUACGUG
This 468-nucleotide ribosomal RNA is filed under the name uncultured bacterium. RNAcentral describes it as "partial 16S ribosomal RNA". It matches the Rfam family "Bacterial small subunit ribosomal RNA", at positions 28 to 507 of the family's 1533-position model. The record is from RNAcentral.